AUUAAUGAAUAUAACAUCGGAGGGAGGAAUAUGGGGGAAGUUGUUGCUGGCCUUUUUGGCAUGUGCACACUCUUCUGAGGACCUCUCGACGUCUUUCAUCUCUCACCUGUGCACCAAUUGUGGGUGAGAUUUCUCUCUCCAGUAGGAGGGGGAGGUCGUUAAUAACCUAUGUAUUCAAUAUACAUCUUCGUGUAGAAAGUCCCAGAAUGUUUACUAUCAGAGAGUUGCGACUUCUAGGAGUUGUGAAUCUUUGAGAUAAAAGUUUAUUACAACUUUCAGCAAUGGAUCUCUUGGCUCUCGCAUCGAUGAAGAACGCAGCGAAAAGCGAUAUGUAAUGUGAAUUGCAGAUCUACAGUGAAUCAUCGAAUCUUUGAACGCACCUUGCGCUCCUUGGUAUUCCGAGGAGCAUGCCUGUUUGAGUGUCAGUAAUUUCUCAACCCCCUCUUGAUUAGAUUCGAGAGGGGAGCUUGGAUAGUGGGGGCUGCUGGUGACUAGGGACUUUUGUCCCUAGACUCGGCUCUCCUUAAAUAUAUUGGCUUGCGGUUAACUUUUCGAGUUUGCGCGAAAAGGCUUUCGGCGUGAUAAUGAUCGCUGUGUGCUGAAGUGCAUAAAUGAAAAGUUUCGUGCCUCUAAUAUUAUGUUGACUGUUUAUUCAGUCUUCAAAAAUUUGACAUUUUGACCUCAAAUCAGGUAGGACUACCCGCUGAACUUAAGCAUAUCAAUAAGCGGAGGAAAAGAAACUAACAAGGAUUCCCCUAGUAACUGCGAGUGAACCGGGAAAAGCUCAAAUUUUGAAUCUGGCAGUCUUUUAGAU
This 814-nucleotide ribosomal RNA is filed under the name Rhizopogon alexsmithii. Its description in RNAcentral is "eukaryotic LSU rRNA". The stretch from base 271 to 425 matches the Rfam family "5.8S ribosomal RNA". Lineage: Eukaryota; Fungi; Basidiomycota; Agaricomycetes; Boletales; Rhizopogonaceae. The record is from RNAcentral.